GACGAACGCUGGCGGCGUGCUUAACACAUGCAAGUCGAACGGAAACGCCCUGCUUUUGUGCGCUGCUCGAGUUGCGAACGGGUGAGUAACACGUGAGUAACCUGCCCUUGACUUUGGGAUAACUUAAGGAAACUGGGGCUAAUACCGGCUAGGAGCUCCCGCUGCAUGGUGGGGGUUGGAUAGUUUCGGCGGUUGGGGAUGGACUCGCGGCUCAUCAGGUCGUUGGUGGGGUAGUGGCUUACCAAGGCCUUGACGGGUAGCCGUCCUGGGAGGGUGACCGGGCACAUUGGGACUGGGAUAGGGCCCAGGCUCCUACGGGAGGGAGCGGUGGGGAAGAUGGCACAAGGAGAGGGAGCGAGAGGCAGCAACGGCGCGGGCGGGAUGGCGGCCUUCGGGUUAGGAACCGCAUGCGCUUGUGACGAGGCGGGAGUGACGGUAACGGGGAGAGAAGCACCGGCUAACUACGUG
Molecule: ribosomal RNA, 468 nt
Filed under: uncultured bacterium
Lineage: Bacteria
Description: partial 16S ribosomal RNA
Rfam family: Bacterial small subunit ribosomal RNA
Source: RNAcentral